AGAGUUUGAUCCUGGCUCAGGACGAACGCUGGCGGCGUGCUUAACACAUGCAAGUCGAACGGAAAGGUCUCUUCGGAGAUACUCGAGUGGCGAACGGGUGAGUAACACGUGGGUAAUCUGCCCUGCACUUCGGGAUAAGCCUGGGAAACUGGGUCUAAUACCGAAUAGGACCAUGAGACGCAUGUCUUAUGGUGGAAAGCUUUUGCGGUGUGGGAUGGGCCCGCGGCCUAUCAGCUUGUUGGUGGGGUGAUGGCCUACCAAGGCGACGACGGGUAGCCGGCCUGAGAGGGUGUCCGGCCACACUGGGACUGAGAUACGGCCCAGACUCCUACGGGAGGCAGCAGUGGGGAAUAUUGCACAAUGGGCGCAAGCCUGAUGCAGCGACGCCGCGUGGGGGAUGACGGCCUUCGGGUUGUAAACCUCUUUCACCAUCGACGAAGGCCCAUGUGAGUGGGUUGACGGUAGGUGGAGAAGAAGCACCGGCCAACUACGUGCCAGCAGCCGCGGUAAUACGUAGGGUGCGAGCGUUGUCCGGAAUUACUGGGCGUAAAGAGCUCGUAGGUGGUUUGUCGCGUUGUUCGUGAAAUUCCCUGGCUUAACUGGGGGCGUGCGGGCGAUACGGGCAGACUGGAGUACUGCAGGGGAGACUGGAAUUCCUGGUGUAGCGGUGGAAUGCGCAGAUAUCAGGAGGAACACCGGUGGCGAAGGCGGGUCUCUGGGCAGUAACUGACGCUGAGGAGCGAAAGCGUGGGGAGCGAACAGGAUUAGAUACCCCCGUAGUCC
Molecule: ribosomal RNA, 783 nt
Filed under: uncultured bacterium
Lineage: Bacteria
Description: bacterial SSU rRNA
Rfam family: Bacterial small subunit ribosomal RNA
Source: RNAcentral